GAUGAACGCUGGCGGCGUGCCUAAUACAUGCAAGUCGAACGAACAGAUGAGGCGCUUGCUCCGCUGUCGUUAGCGGAGGACGGGUGAGUAACACGUGGAUACCCUCCCUGUAAGACUGGGAUAACUUCGGGACACCGGCGCUUAUACCGGAUGAUAUAUUGCAGCGCAUGGUUCGAUAGUGAGAGACGGUUUUGCUGGAUCUACUCGCUGCAUCUGCGCCGCAUUAGCUAGUUGGUGCGGUCACAGCUUAUCAGGGCGAGUAUGCGUAGCCGAGCUGAGGGGGUGGUCGGCCACACUGGAACUGAGACACGGUCCAUACUCCUACGGGAGGCCGCAGAAGGGAAUCGUCCGCAGUGGGCGGAAGCCUGACGGAGCAGCGCCGCGUGAGUGAUGAAGGUGUUCCGAUCGUAAAACUCUGUUAUGAGGGAAGAACAAAUGUGUAAGUAACUAUGCACGUCUUGACGGUACCUAAUCAGAAAGCCACGGCUAACUACGUG
RNAcentral lists this ribosomal RNA (497 nucleotides) under uncultured bacterium. RNAcentral's name for it is "partial 16S ribosomal RNA". It matches the Rfam family "Bacterial small subunit ribosomal RNA", at positions 28 to 507 of the family's 1533-position model. The record is from RNAcentral.